UAUGUGAUCGUCUCUCGCAUAUCAAUAAGCGGAGGAAAAGAAACUAACAAGGAUUCCCCUAGUAACGGCGAGUGAAGCGGGAAGAGCUCAAAUUUGAAAUCUUAAAGGGUUUCCCUUUACGAAUUGUAGUUUAAAGAAGUGUUUUCUGUUGAGGUUUUGGUAAAAGUUCUUUGGAAUAGGACAUCAUAGAGGGUGAGAAUCCCGUAUUUGACCUUUACUUUCAACUUUGUGAUACACUUUCAAAGAGUCGGAUUGUUUGGGGAUGCAGUCCAAAAUGGGUGGUAAAUUUCAUCUAAAGCUAAAUAUUGGCGAGAGACCGAUAGCGAACAAGUACCGUGAGGGAAAGAUGAAAAGAACUUUGAAAAGAGAGUUAAACAGUACGUGAAAUUGUCAAAAGGGAAGCGUUUGACACCAGUGUUGUUUUUCUGAAAAUCAAUUAAAGAACUGUUUAUGCUAAGCUGUUUAGACUUUAUCAGCUAUCUGUUUAGUUUUGAGCUUUUCUUUAAUGCACUUUUCAGUUAACAAGUCGACAUCAAUUUCUUUUGCUGUAAAAAAGCUUGAGGAAGGUGGCUUGAGAUUCGUCUUAAGUGUUUAUAGCCUCUUGCCUAUGCAGUCGGAGAGAUUGAGGUCUGCAGCGUAGAUCCUUCGGGGCUAAAUGCAUUUGUGCUAAGUUAUAGCAUUUUAUAGACAACUUGUUGACUAUGAUUUGUCUUGUAGCUUACUCGCUUAUGUUAUUUUACCUACGCUUAGGAUGUUGAGCGCAUGUCUCUCUCU
RNAcentral lists this ribosomal RNA (774 nucleotides) under uncultured Neocallimastigales. RNAcentral describes it as "partial large subunit ribosomal RNA". It matches the Rfam family "Eukaryotic large subunit ribosomal RNA", at positions 24 to 616 of the family's 3401-position model. Lineage: Eukaryota; Fungi; Neocallimastigomycota; Neocallimastigomycetes; Neocallimastigales. The record is from RNAcentral.